Molecule: non-coding RNA, 228 nt
Organism: Pelobates cultripes (western spadefoot toad)
Lineage: Eukaryota; Metazoa; Chordata; Amphibia; Anura; Pelobatidae
Source: the annotation of a GenBank genome assembly
CUGUACCCGGCCUCUGACCCCAGAACAUGCGUGCGUGUCCUUUGCGUGACGUCACACGCACGCCAACCUCGUCACUACCGUGGGAAGACGUGGGGUUAUAAAUUGAAAUGGAUCCGCAGCGGCCGGCGUCCUUCAACAUGCUGCAGGAGUCAGAUACGCCGUAACAUGGCUGCUGAGUAGAAAGGCAUUUUCCAUUACGGACAGCGAACAUGUGACAUUACCCCCCAC